RNAcentral lists this long non-coding RNA (710 nucleotides) under Pongo abelii (Sumatran orangutan). Its description in RNAcentral is "lincRNA". The record is from RNAcentral. Lineage: Eukaryota; Metazoa; Chordata; Mammalia; Primates; Hominidae.
CAGCCCUAUAGGAGACACCUCCAGAGAAAGUAACAACUCUCAGUUGAUUAGCUGAGGAAGACACCAAAUGAGCUACACUGUUUUGGACUCCCCAACACAACCCAGCCACCGGCUGAAUGCCACCAAAUUACCUUCUAGUUAAAGCUUUAUGGAGCAAACGAAUCACCUAUUCAAUAUCUGCUUGAAUUUCUGACUCAAAAUAUAUCAGGUAUAAAAUGAUGGUUUUUUUAAGCCACUAAGUCUUGGGGGAGUUUAUUAUAAAGCAAUAGAUAAUUUUGAAAAUAAAUAGAACAAGCUGAAGUCUCAAUAAGAACUCAUGGUUUCAUUUAUUUCUUUGAUAGAAUGGUCUUGGAAGUAACAUCUAAUUUUGACUGAGGUAUCGUCUCUAACCAGUGAUCUAUAAAACAGUUUGGGAUCUCUAGCCUGCCCAUGAUCAUAUAUAUAUAUACACACACACACAUACACAUAAACAUAUAUAACAUAUAUAUAAACAUAUAUAUGUGUGUAUAUGCCCCAUAGUUAGGUAAGUCAAUUUACAAUGAUGAAGCAAAUCAAAUUCAUAAUAAUAAUGGUUAGGUUUAGUGAUAAAUUUUGUAAUUACUGCUGUUAUAUUUGUGGAUUUUUUUUCUUUUUUUGAGACGGUUUCUUGCUUUGUCACCCAGGCUGGAGUGCAGUGGUACAAUCAUGACUCAUUGCAGCCUCAACCUCCC